RNAcentral lists this long non-coding RNA (5076 nucleotides) under Gallus gallus (chicken). Its description in RNAcentral is "lncRNA (ENSGALG00010028839.1)". The record is from RNAcentral. Lineage: Eukaryota; Metazoa; Chordata; Aves; Galliformes; Phasianidae.
CCCAACUCUGACCCUGUAACCCUAACCCUAACCUUGGCCCUGACCCUAACCCUGACCCUAUAACCCAACCCUCACCCUAUGAUCCUAACCCUAACCUGAUGCUGACACAGACCCUAACCCCAACCAGUCCUGACCCUAUAACUCUAACCCAAACCGUAUCCCUGUCCCUAUAACUCUAACCCCAUAACUCUGACCCUAUAAAUCAACCUCGACCCCAACCCCAUACCCAACACCAGUCCUAAACUGAAACCUGACCCUAACACUCUAACCCUAACCCCAACCCUAACCCUGACCCCAUAAUGCUAACCCUAAUCCUGACCCCAUAACUCUAACCCUAACCCUGACCCCAUAACUCUAACCCUAACCCUGACCCCAUAACAGUAACCCUAACCCUGACCCCAUAACGCUAACCCUAACCCUGAUCCCAUAACGCUAACCCUAACCCUGACCCCAUAACUCUAACCCUAACCCUGACCCCAUAACUCUAACCCUAACCCUAACCCUAAUCCCUGUAGGAUUUUUCUCAGUGGGUUUUGGGUCUGUAGAAGUUUUCUCAAUGGGUUUCGGGUCCAGGAGGGUUUUCUCAAUGGGUUUUGUGUCCAUCGGAGUUUUCCCAAUGGGAUUUGGGCCCCGUGGGACUUUUCUCAAUGGGGUUUGGGUGUAUGGGAGAUUUCUCAAUGGGUUUUGGGCCCUGUGGGAAUUUUCUCAAUGGGUUUUGGGUCAGUAGGAUUUUCCCAAUAGGUUUUGGGUCUGUGGGAGUUUUCUCAGUGGGUUUUGGGUCAGUAGGAUUUUUCCCAAUAGGAUUUGGGUCUAUGGGAGUUUUCUCAAUGGGUUUCGGGUCCAUAGGAGUUCUCCCAAUGGGGUUUGGGCCCUGUGGGAAUUUGCUCAGUGGGUUUGGGGUCUGUAGGAUUUUUCUCAGUGGAUUUUGGCUCUGUAGAAGUUUUCUUUUUCAUUGAGUUUUGGGUCUGUGGGAGUUUUCUCAAUGGGGUUUGGGGUCGAUGGGGGUUUUCUCAGUGGGGUUUGGGUGUACGGGAUUUUUCUCAAUGGGUUUUGUAUCCAUCAAAGAUGUCCUAAUGGGGUCUGGGCCCCGUGGGAGUUUUCUCAAUGGGGUUUGGGUGUAUGGAGGUUUUCUCAUUGGGUUUUGGGCCCUGUGGGGGUGGGGGGUUCUUAACGGGUUUUGUGUCCGUAGGAGUUUUCCCAAUGGGGUCUGGGCCCUGUGGGAGUUUUCUCAGUGGGUUUUGGGUCAGUAGGAUUUUUUCCCAAUAGGAUUUGGGUCUAUAGAAGUUUUUCUCAAUGAGUUUUGGGUGUAUGGGUAUUUUCUUGAUAGGUUUUGUGUCCGUAGGAGUUUUCCCAAUGGGUUUUGGGGUCUGUAGGAUUUUUCUCAGUGGAUUUUGGCUCUGUAGAAGUUUUCUUUUUCAAUGAGUUUUGGGUCUGUGGGAGUUUUCUCAAUGGGGUUUGGGGUCGAUGGGGGUUUUCUCCACGGAUUUUGUGUCCAUUGGAGUUUUCUCAAUGGGGUGUGGGCCCUGGGGGGGGGGCGGUUCUCAAUGGGUUUUGGGUCUAUAGGACUUUUUUUCAAUGGGUUUUGGAUCCAUGAGAGUUUUCCCAAUGGGUUUUGGGUCCAGAGGAAUUUUCCCGAUGGGGUUUGGGCCCCGCGGGAGUUUUCUCAGCGGCUUUUGUGUCUGUAGAAGGUUUUUUUUUUUUCAACGGGUUUUGGGUCCAUUGCAGUUUUCUCGAUGGGUUUUGGGCCCUACGGGAGUUUUCUCAAUGGGUUUUUGGGUCUAUGAGAGUUUUCUCAAUGGGGCUUUGGGCCCUCCGGGGGUUUCUCAAUGGCUUUCGGCCCGCAGAGGCUCCGGUUGGCGGCGGCUCCGAGCACCACCCGAGCAGCAGCGCGGCUCUCUCGGCCGGAAGGACGGCCCGCCGCUCCGGUUCGGUUCUGCCCCGCGGAGCGGUUGGGCCCGCCGGGUCCCGCGGCCGUCCGUCGCCGCGCUGUUUGUUUGCCCGUUGCCCGGAGCCGCGACCGUCCGCUGCGCUCCGCGCCUCUGCGGUUUCCCGUCCCCCGAAAGCGGUUAUUUGGGAUUUGAGUUUUUGUCGCUUUUCUUUUCCUGUUGUUAUCGGGGAGAUCCCAACCUCCGCUCGCGCUGACGCGGAGCUGACGGCAGCGCUACGAAUCGGGAAAGGGGGGGGGGGAGGGGGGGGGGGAAACGGGGGGCGGCCCCACGUAGAGAGCGGCAGCGGCACCGCGUGGCCACCGGGAGCCGCGCAGCGGCGGCUGCGGGCAGCGCUGCGCCGGGUGGGACUGCGGGGGUUUGAGGUCCCUCCCAACGCAACGGCGCUGUGAUGCCGCGGUUCUGGGGACCGUAGGGUCCCUCCGAGCCGCCCGUGCUGCGAUUCUAUGGGUCUGUGGUCUAUAGGGCCUCUCCAAAGCAACCGUGCUGUGCAUCCGUUGCCUGUGAUCCAUAGGAUCCCUCCAACCCACCCGUGCUGUGAUCCCGUGGUUCUGUGAUCUAUAGGGCCCCUUCAACCCAACGAUGUGAUUCUGUGAUCUAUAGGGUCCCUUCCAACCCACCCUAGCUGUGAUCCCAUUGUUCUGUGAUCUAUAUGGUCUGUUCCAACCCAAGGAUGUGAUUCUGUCAUCUAUAGGGUCCCUUCCAACACACCCGUGUUGUGAUCCCUCGGUUCAGUGAUCUAUAGGGCCCCUCCAACCCAACAAUGUUAUUCUGUGAUCUAUAGGGUCCCUUUCAACCCAACCACUCCACUCAGUGAUCCCAUGGUUUUAUGAUCCAUAGGGUCCUCCCGUCCCAACCACUCAGUGAUCCCAUGGUUCUAUGAUCGAUGGGGUCCCUUUCAACCCAACCACUCAGUGAUCCCAUGGUUUUAUGAUCCAUAGGGUCCUCCCAUCCCAACCACUCAGUGAUCCCAUGGUUUUAUGAUCUAUAGGGUCCCUGUCAACCCAACCACUCAGUGAUCCCAUGGUUUUAUGAUCCAUAGGGUCCUCCCAUCCCAACCACUCAGUGAUCCCAUGGUUCUAUGACCUACAGGGUCCCUUUCAACCCAACCACGCGAUUCUGUGGUCUAUAGGGCCCAUCCCGACCCACAGCUCACAGCAUCAUGAGGCACACACAGAAAGCAGCGGUGCUCAAUGCCUCCUCUGCCCGCAGCGCCCAAACUGCAGAGAGCAAAGGAAGGAACUGAGAGAAGGACGAUCUGCCCCCCAAAGAUGAGGUCUGAAAGCAGCUGUAGGGCCUGAAGGUGCUAUGGGGCCGACGAGAUCCCUCCAUGGGUUCAGGGGGAGCUGCGGGGUGAUGCCGCCACGCUGCCCUCCAUCGUAUUCGGAAGGUGGUGGCAUUGGGAGACAUUCCCAUGGGUUGGAAAAGGGGACACACAGCUCCCGUUCCCAGGAAGGGGAAAAAUGGGGGGGGGGGGGGGGGGGGGAGAACUGCACAGCAGAGGUUUCCCCUCUGUGCCUGCGGGACUGUGGGGCACACAGGGGGGUCACGGAAAAGAAGGAUGGGGUGGUUGGUGGUAAGCAGCAUGGCUUCAGCAGGGCUGUGAGGAGGGUUUGGGGGUGUGGGUCGAUGAAAGAGGGCUGCCCAAAUCCUGCCUUGCUUUGGGAGCAGUGCAGCCAGCAGGGUGGGGGAUGGGGGGGUUGGGGGGGGAUGGGGGGGGGAUGGGGGGGGGUCCUGCCCCUCUGCUCUCCUGAGCCCCCAUCGGGAACGCUGCAUUCAGGUCUGAGCCCCCAGCAGCAGAAGGACACGGAGCUGUUGGUGCGUCACAGAGGUGAGCAGAGGAUGGAGCACCUCCAAAACAGGGACAGGCUGAGAGCUGGGGCUGUGCAGCCUGGGGAAGGGGCAUUAUAGCUGAGAGCUGGGGCUGUGCAGCCUGGGGAAGGGGCAUUAUAGCUGAGAGCUGGGGCUGUGCAGCCUGGGGAAGGGGCAUUAUAGCUGAGAGCUGGGGCUGUGCAGCCUGGGGAAGGGGCAUUACAGCCCAUUAUAGCCCUGCCAGGACCUGGGGGGGGUGGGGGGGGGGAAGCUAGGAAGGACUUCUUACAAGGGCGGGUAGCGACAGGAUAAGGGGAAAUGGCUUUGAGCUGGGAGAGGGGAGGACUAGAGCGGAUGUUAGGAGGGAAUUCUUCACUGUGAGGGGGGGCAGAGGUUGGGACAGGGCAUGGGGGGGCUGUGGGUGACCCCUCCCCAGGGGGGAUGGGGCUCUGAGCAGUCCGGUGUGCUGCGAGCCGGCCCUGCCAGCAGCGGGAGGUGCAGUGAGGUGAUCUAUAGGGCCCCUUCCGACCCAAACCGUGCAGUGAUUUGGUGAUUCUGUGAUCUAUAGGGCCCCUUCUGACCCAAACCGUGCCGUGAUUCGGUGAUUCUGUGAUCUAUAGGGCCUCUCCCAACCCAAACCGUGCCGUGAUUCGGUGAUUCUGUGAUCUAUAGGGCCCCUUCCGACCCAAACUGUGCAGUGAUUCGGUGAUUCUGUGAUCUAUAGGGCCCCUUCCGACCCAAACUGUGCCGUGAUUCGGUGAUUCUGUGAUCUAUAGGGCCCCUUCCGACCCAAACCGUGCCGUGAUUCGGUGAUUCUGUGAUCUAUAGGGCCCCUUCCGACCCAAACCGUGCCGUGAUUCGGUGAUUCUGUGAUCUAUAGGGCCCCUUCCGACCCAAACCGUGCCGUGAUUCGGUGAUUCUGUGAUCUAUAGGGCCCCUUCCGACCCAAACCGUGCCGUGAUUCAGUGAUUCUAUGAUCUAUAGGGCCCCUUCCGACCCAAACCAUGCAGUGAUUCGGUGAUUCUGUGACCUAUAGGGCCCCUUCCGACCCAAACCGUGCCGUGAUUCGGUGAUUCUGUGAUCUAUAGGGCCCCUUCCGACCCAAACCGUGCCGUGAUUCGGUGAUUCUGCAAUCUAUAGGGACCCCUCCAACCCAACCAUGACGUGACUCUACGAUCCGUAGGGUCCCUUCAACCCAAUUCGUGCCGUGAUCCCACAGUUCUGUGAUCCAUACGGUCCCUCCCAACCCAACCGUGCCACGACCCCAUGGCCGUGUCCCCACAGCCCCAGAGCAGCCCUAGGGAGGGCGGCAUCCCCU